AAGUCUAACCUGCCCACUGAAUAAAUUUAAAUGGCCGCAGUAUCUUAACUGUGCAAAGGUAGCAUAAUCAUUAGUCUUUUAAUUGAAGGCUGGAAUGAAUGGUUGGAUGAAAUAUUAACUGUUUCAUAAAAAUUAUUAAUAGAAUUUUAUUUUUUAGUCAAAAAGCUAAAAUAAUAUUAAAAGACGAGAAGACCCUAUAAAUCUUUAUAUUUAGAUAGUUUUAAUUAUUUAGAUAAUUUAAAUUAUAAUUAUUUUAAGUAUUUUAUUGGGGUGAUAUUAAAAUUUAAUAAACUUUUAAUUUAUAAAAUACAUAAAUUAAUGAAUUAUUGAUCCAUUUAUUAUGAUUAAAAAAUUAAGUUACUUUAGGGAUAACAGCGUAAUUUUUUUAGAGAGUUCAUAUUGAUAAAAA
Molecule: ribosomal RNA, 409 nt
Filed under: Megaselia fuscinula
Lineage: Eukaryota; Metazoa; Arthropoda; Insecta; Diptera; Phoridae
Description: partial 16S ribosomal RNA
Source: RNAcentral